RNAcentral lists this ribosomal RNA (494 nucleotides) under uncultured bacterium. RNAcentral's name for it is "partial 16S ribosomal RNA". It matches the Rfam family "Bacterial small subunit ribosomal RNA", at positions 28 to 507 of the family's 1533-position model. The record is from RNAcentral.
GACGAACGCUGGCGGCGUGCUUAACACAUGCAAGUCGAACGGUGAAGCGCCUUCCUUUUUGGUGGGUGUGGAUGAGUGGCGAACGGGUGAGUAACACGUGAGUAACCUGCCCCCUUCUUCUGGAUAACCGCAUGAAAGUGUGGCUAAUACGGGAUAUUCUGGGUCUGUCGCAUGAUGGGUCUGGGAAAGAUAUUGUUUCGGUGGGGGAUGGGCUCGCGGCCUAUCAGCUUGUUGGUGGGGUGAUGGCCUACCAAGGCGGUGACGGGUAGCUGGCCUGAGAGGGUGGACGGUCACACUGGGACUGAGACACGGCCCAGAAUCCUACGGGAGGCAGCAGUGGGGAAUAUUGCACAAUGGGCGCAAGCCUGAUGCAGCGACGCCGCGUGAGGGAUGGAGGCCUUCGGGUUGUGAACAUCUUUCGCCAGUGAAGCAGGCCUGCCUCGUUUGUGGGUGGGUUGACGGUAGCUGGAUAAGAAGCGCCGGCUAACUACGUG